RNAcentral lists this long non-coding RNA (216 nucleotides) under Setaria viridis. Its description in RNAcentral is "long non-coding RNA (SVIR_LNC006736)". Lineage: Eukaryota; Viridiplantae; Streptophyta; Magnoliopsida; Poales; Poaceae. The record is from RNAcentral.
UCCACCUCUUGCAUCCUGAUGGCCCUGGCCGACCAAGAAACGCUGCAGCUAUACAUCUCCACAACAACACACGUUGUGAGCACGGUGCUAGUUGUAGAACGUGAAGAACCUGACCACGCCCACAUGGUGCAAAGGCCGAUAUAUUACGUCAGCGAGGUCCUGAGCAACUCCAAAGUCCGCUCCACACAGGUCCAGAAAUUGCUCUACACAAUACUG